Long non-coding RNA from Triticum dicoccoides, 824 nucleotides. RefSeq lists it as uncharacterized. The record is from RefSeq and is a predicted model, not a curated record. The transcript has 3 exons. Lineage: Eukaryota; Viridiplantae; Streptophyta; Magnoliopsida; Poales; Poaceae.
CACACAUUCCAUCUCUCAUUCCUCUUACCCUCUUUCGUGGGCGAUGCUAACCCUAGCGCCACCGGCGGCCGCCGCCACAUCGCCUGCCACCAGCUCCGACCAUGAAUUCCAGUUUCUCCCACCAUCAGCGCUCCUUCCCCAGGAGGUCUCAUCCUUGGCUCUCGGAUUAAUCUCCGCUCCCACUCCGGCCGGGUCCCUCGUGACUCGUGAGACGGCUCCGAGGCUGCAUCCACCGCCGUGCAUGCCGCCCGCUGGAGGUUCCUCGGGCUCGGGAACGUGGAGGAGCACAUGGUUGAGUACAACGGCAAGGGCGGGGUGGAAGGAGACUCCCUGCGCAUGGAAUGACCCUACUGGUUCAUCUGCAACAUAACUCCGGCCGCCAGAGCCUCAAGUUUGGUCUUCUCUUCUAAAUCGAUCCGUUUAGAUCCCAAGUUCCCAACUAAUCAAGAGAUAUGAGGACAUGCAGGAUGAAGGAUGAAGGAGCCGCAGUUGUCAGUGCUGCGGUGGGCGAGCAAAGAUGCAACUGGACAUUAGUCAGGGACUGCAACAUAUGGUCAUGACGAUGUUCUCCGAACUCUGAUCUCUCUUCCGUGUUUUCAGACAACAAUGACCAGUAGUAGUCCUUUGCACAAUUUUACUUCUCUGUGUGCAGUUUAAAGCUAGGGGAAAAAUGGGGGCAUGAAUACCCACAUUGCUCUCAUAUCAUCUCCAUGGAUGGAAAAGAGUACAUAUUGCAAUCAUUGUUCACCCUCUCCCUUUGUCGCGUGCGUUGUCUGAAUCAACUUAAACUUAGCUGACAAAAAGGCUUCAUGUCUCGAUUUUCA